This 450-nucleotide ribosomal RNA is filed under the name uncultured organism. RNAcentral's name for it is "partial 16S ribosomal RNA". It matches the Rfam family "Bacterial small subunit ribosomal RNA", at positions 330 to 797 of the family's 1533-position model. The record is from RNAcentral.
CGUACACUCCUGCGGGAGGCAGCAGUGGGGAAUAUUGGACAAUGGGCGCAAGCCUGAUCCAGCCAUGCCGCGUGAGUGAUGAAGGCCCUAGGGUUGUAAAGCUCUUUCACCGGAGAAGAUAAUGACGGUAUCCGGAGAAGAAGCCCCGGCUAACUUCGUGCCAGCAGCCGCGGUAAUACGAAGGGGGCUAGCGUUGUUCGGAAUUACUGGGCGUAAAGCGCACGUAGGCGGAUCGAUCAGUCAGGGGUGAAAUCCCAGGGCUCAACCCUGGAACUGCCUUUGAUACUGUCGAUCUGGAGUAUGGAAGAGGUGAGUGGAAUUCCGAGUGGAGAGGUGAAAUUCGUAGAUAUUCGGAGGAACACCAGUGGCGAAGGCGGCUCACUGGUCCAUUACUGACGCUGAGGUGCGAAAGCGUGGGGAGCAAACAGGAUUAGAAACCCGUGUAGUCCC